This 2059-nucleotide ribosomal RNA is filed under the name Salmonella enterica. RNAcentral's name for it is "partial 23S ribosomal RNA". It matches the Rfam family "Bacterial large subunit ribosomal RNA", at positions 894 to 2925 of the family's 2925-position model. Lineage: Bacteria; Pseudomonadati; Pseudomonadota; Gammaproteobacteria; Enterobacterales; Enterobacteriaceae. The record is from RNAcentral.
CUCCGGGGGUAGAGCACUGUUUCGGCUAGGGGGCCAUCCCGGCUUACCAACCCGAUGCAAACUGCGAAUACCGGAGAAUGUUAUCACGGGAGACACACGGCGGGUGCUAACGUCCGUCGUGAAGAGGGAAACAACCCAGACCGCCAGCUAAGGUCCCAAAGUCAUGGUUAAGUGGGAAACGAUGUGGGAAGGCCCAGACAGCCAGGAUGUUGGCUUAGAAGCAGCCAUCAUUUAAAGAAAGCGUAAUAGCUCACUGGUCGAGUCGGCCUGCGCGGAAGAUGUAACGGGGCUAAACCAUGCACCGAAGCUGCGGCAGCGACGCUGAUGCGUUGUUGGGUAGGGGAGCGUUCUGUAAGCCUGCGAAGGUGGCCUGUGAGGGUUGCUGGAGGUAUCAGAAGUGCGAAUGCUGACAUAAGUAACGAUAAAGCGGGUGAAAAGCCCGCUCGCCGGAAGACCAAGGGUUCCUGUCCAACGUUAAUCGGGGCAGGGUGAGUCGACCCCUAAGGCGAGGCCGAAAGGCGUAGUCGAUGGGAAACGGGUUAAUAUUCCCGUACUUGGUGUUACUGCGAAGGGGGGACGGAGAAGGCUAUGUUGGCCGGGCGACGGUUGUCCCGGUUUAAGCGUGUAGGUGUGUGUUCCAGGUAAAUCCGGUUCACUUUAACACUGAGGCGUGAUGACGAGGCACUACGGUGCUGAAGCAACAAAUGCCCUGCUUCCAGGAAAAGCCUCUAAGCAUCAGGUAACAUCAAAUCGUACCCCAAACCGACACAGGUGGUCAGGUAGAGAAUACCAAGGCGCUUGAGAGAACUCGGGUGAAGGAACUAGGCAAAAUGGUGCCGUAACUUCGGGAGAAGGCACGCUGACACGUAGGUGAAGUGAUUUACUCAUGGAGCUGAAGUCAGUCGAAGAUACCAGCUGGCUGCAACUGUUUAUUAAAAACACAGCACUGUGCAAACACGAAAGUGGACGUAUACGGUGUGACGCCUGCCCGGUGCCGGAAGGUUAAUUGAUGGGGUCAGCGCAAGCGAAGCUCCUGAUCGAAGCCCCGGUAAACGGCGGCCGUAACUAUAACGGUCCUAAGGUAGCGAAAUUCCUUGUCGGGUAAGUUCCGACCUGCACGAAUGGCGUAAUGAUGGCCAGGCUGUCUCCACCCGAGACUCAGUGAAAUUGAACUCGCUGUGAAGAUGCAGUGUACCCGCGGCAAGACGGAAAGACCCCGUGAACCUUUACUAUAGCUUGACACUGAACAUUGAGCCUUGAUGUGUAGGAUAGGUGGGAGGCUUUGAAGUGUGGACGCCAGUCUGCAUGGAGCCGGCCUUGAAAUACCACCCUUUAAUGUUUGAUGUUCUAACGUGGACCCGUGAUCCGGGUUGCGGACAGUGUCUGGUGGGUAGUUUGACUGGGGCGGUCUCCUCCUAAAGAGUAACGGAGGAGCACGAAGGUUGGCUAAUCCUGGUCGGACAUCAGGAGGUUAGUGCAAUGGCAUAAGCCAGCUUGACUGCGAGCGUGACGGCGCGAGCAGGUGCGAAAGCAGGUCAUAGUGAUCCGGUGGUUCUGAAUGGAAGGGCCAUCGCUCAACGGAUAAAAGGUACUCCGGGGAUAACAGGCUGAUACCGCCCAAGAGUUCAUAUCGACGGCGGUGUUUGGCACCUCGAUGUCGGCUCAUCACAUCCUGGGGCUGAAGUAGGUCCCAAGGGUAUGGCUGUUCGCCAUUUAAAGUGGUACGCGAGCUGGGUUUAGAACGUCGUGAGACAGUUCGGUCCCUAUCUGCCGUGGGCGCUGGAGAACUGAGGGGGGCUGCUCCUAGUACGAGAGGACCGGAGUGGACGCAUCACUGGUGUUCGGGUUGUCAUGCCAAUGGCACUGCCCGGUAGCUAAAUGCGGAAGAGAUAAGUGCUGAAAGCAUCUAAGCACGAAACUUGCCCCGAGAUGAGUUCUCCCUGAGACUUAGAGUCUCCUGAAGGAACGUUGAAGACGACGACGUUGAUAGGCCGGGUGUGUAAGCGCAGCGAUGCGUUGAGCUAACCGGUACUAAUGAACCGUGAGGCUUAACCUUACA